RNAcentral lists this long non-coding RNA (4774 nucleotides) under Papio anubis (olive baboon). RNAcentral's name for it is "lncRNA (ENSPANG00000042757.1)". Lineage: Eukaryota; Metazoa; Chordata; Mammalia; Primates; Cercopithecidae. The record is from RNAcentral.
AUGUCCCUAACCAUCACAAUGUCCUGCCAGGUCAGAGCUGUCACGGCCAUGCAUGGAGCACGGAUUCCCCCGUCAACCCAUGAUGCUCUUGCCAAGUUUUCCAGGGCCUGGUCCUCAGAGCUUGCCUUACCUGGCCAGCAGCAGUAUAGGAGCCAAAGCUUGCUCCGCCCUGUGUACCAUCCUCACUUGGCUGCACACCCCUCCUUCCUCCCUCACACCACAGCUGUUCCUCCUGUGCUGCUGUCCAUUCAUUCUGCUACUACUGGUGCAUGAUUGACAGCGAACCCAGGUGGAUUGUCUUCAACCCAUGCGCUAGGAAUUUCUCUGACUAACUGAAAUAAUAAUUUCUCUUCAUCCUGCAUACGAGGCUACACUGGUGCCUGUAGUUUCUUUCUAUAAAGUCUGCACUCCUCAGCCUGUGGGAUGGUAAGGGUUAACACCAUGGCCUUCAGGUGAGUUAGAUUUAAAGUCCUGUCUCCCUGCAGGCCAAAAGUCAUCUGUGCUUGCAGUUUUUGAAGCAGGUCUCUCUCUAACAAGGGAAUUGGACAAUUUGGGAGGUAUAGGAAUUCAGGCUGAACUUUUCAUCCUCCUAUAACACACCUCCUUGACUGGAAGAAUGGCCUCUUCUCUGAGACUCCAGUAGUCCCUACAAUAGUUGUACAGUUCUUGGAUAGAGGCCCUAUGGGUCAAGUUACUAGUGAGCAUUCAGCCCCAGUAUCUACCAUAAAGUCCAUCAAUUGGCCUCCAACUUCUUUUUUUUUUUUUUUUUUUUUUUUUUUUUUUGAGACGGAGUCUCGCUCUGUCACCCAGGCUGGAGUGCAGUGGCCGGAUCUCAGCUCACUGCAAGCUCCGCCUCCCGGGUUUACGCCAUUCUCCUGCCUCAGCCUCCCGAGUAGCUGGGACUACAGGCGCCCGCCACCUCGCCCGGCUAAGUUUUUGUAUUUUUAGUAGAGACAGGGUUUCACUGUGUUAGCCAGGAUGGUCUCGAUCUCCUGACCUCGUGAUCCGCCCGUCUCGGCCUCCCAAAGUGCUGGGAUUACAGGCUUGAGCCACCGCGCCCGGCCUGGCCUCCAACUUCUAAAGGAAAGCCUGUGUGACCACAGGCUCCUGGAGGCCCAGUGAGAAGGAGCCCAGUCUGUCCUCAUCUUCAUGUCCUUCAGCCCUUGCCAGCCUGAUUAGAUCAGUAUCUGGUUCUCCUAGGGUACAGCAGCCCCUGGUCAGUGACCUCUUUGUUUUGUGGCGUUGGCCAUUUCCUUCAUUGCCUUCUGGACAUUCAUCUUUCCAGUGUCUCUUCUUUUUACAUCGUGCACAUUGAUCCUUCUCUAGUCUUGGUCAGCUCUCGAAUCCCUGUCUAACCUGACCUCUUCCAUGUCCACGUCUAUGUCCUCUCACAUUGCUAGUUUCUCUUCCUAUGAGGGCUACCGCUAACAGAUCUGCCUUCUUUUUAAGCCUCCAUUCUGCUUCCUUCUUUGCCUCCUAGUCACCGUUAACAUACACCUUGGUGGCUACUUCUAUAAGCUGAGUGGCGUUCAUGCCUGCGAAACCUUCAAGUUUCUGAAGCUUUCGCUUAAUAUCACCCUAGGCCUGUCCUACAAAUGUUGUAUUUAUCGUACACUGAUUUUCAGCAGCCUUAGGGUCAAAUGGGUGAAAAGCUGGUAUGCCUCACAGAGUCUUUCAUAAAACUGGCUAGGGCUCUCAUCACUUCCCUGAAGCCCCUCUGAGAUCUUUCUUAUAUUGAUUGCCUUUUUUCUACCAUCCCUUAGCCCUUGCAGAAGUGCCUCUUGGUGCGUCUGCAAACGCUGAAGCUGGGUAGCAUAUUCUGGGUCCUAGUUGGGAUCUUGGUCUGGGAACUGGCCCUGAGCUUAUGCCUGAGCAUUCACUGUGUCUGCUGGUGCAUGGGCUUCUAGCCAGUGGAGAGCGGCCUGUGUUACUCUCUGAUGCUCCUCAGUGUUAAACAGUGUGAGAAGAAUCUGCCUGCAGUCUGGCCAGGUUGGAUUGUGUGUCACAAAGAUGAACUGCAUCAGAUCUAUAAGAGCCUGGGGCUUCUCCACAUAGGAGGGAGUAUGGUGUUUCCAGUUUAAGAGAUCGGUGGUUGUAAAGGGCUGAUAGAUGAAAGUCCAUUGCCUGCCCUGGACUUGGCCUUGGUCAUCAUAAUAAAUGAGUCCUUGCAUCUCCCGGAGAGACAUUUGCAUAGCUCAAGCACAGCCAGAUCUGAGAUGGCCUGCUUGACCAUCUUAACUUCCUUCCCUGGCCUCUUGAGGCUCCGAUCCUUCCCUUCAGGGUGAGACUUGGGGCAUGCUAGCCCCUGAAUGUGGUUCCUGGAGGCUGUUGGCAUCGGUAAAGGGGGGUAAGCUGGGACAUAUGGAGGAGGAAUCUCUGCUCCCUCUGGUGGCUCCUGUAAGACUGGCCUCUCUUGCUCCCUCUGGGACUUUCCCUUUAACUCUGUGUCUGCCGGAGAAGCUGCUCUUACUUUUAUUUUUGGCUCAGCUUGGGCCACAAGUGUUUUUGCAAUAAGCUGAUUAAACAGGGCUGGAUCCAUGCCAGUCUUGUCCGUGCUAUGUUUAACCAAGAGUCAAUAGAAGGAAAUUGAUCUGGAUGCCCAGGCUGUCCUCCGACCCCUGUCACCACCUUAAAUACACGGUCAAUUAUUUCCCUGUCUAUAAUUCCUUCGGUUGGCCAUCCAACACCAAAGAAGCCCAUUCUAAUUCACAGAGAGUUCGCAACCUCUGGCUGGUUAGCUUAAAUCUAUAAUCCCCUGCAUAACCUUUCUUAAAGUUUGAUAACGUGCACUCUAACAGAGUAGGUUUUGGUGGCUUUCCUCCUGUUUUCCUCCUUUUAUGGUGCAGUGCACUCACUCUUCCUUUUGUUUCGGACUGACCAGACCAUCUCCUAUUAUGGGAGUUUUCAGACGCUGCUUGGCUUUGGAGAAGUCUUUAUUCCUACCGUAGUUCUGAGCUGUGCGGCAGCUCCUAUUAGCUGUAUGCGGUUUGCCACUAGUCCGGGUCGGCCCCACACUUCACUCAGAUCACACAGUCCAUGCUAAGAGAUCUGUGACUCCCCACAUCACUCCCCGCAUUGGUUCCUCCUGGAACUGUCUCUUUCACAUACCUCCCCACUCCCAGUUCCUGUGUCCCUAAUUGGGGUGGCAAGCCACUCUUGCCACCUCCAGUUUUCUUUUCCUAACUGACUUAGCAGCCUCUCUUGCAUCCUUUGUUGGUUGGGGUAUGAGUUUCAUCCAAACUGGUGAGCCACUCUUGCCGCCCCCAAACUCUCUGGGUCAGACUACUAGUUACACCAUGGGAGGUGAUGAGGCUCCCCUUCCAUCCUUAUGGGAUGGGUCCUGCCUUGGGCCCCAAAACCUCACCAUGGUCCAGUAGUGUGCUGUUCCUGGUAAUCCUCCUGUAGCCCCUCUCAGGUUCCACUGCGCUGCUGGGUAGGGGCACCUGGUCACAGGAGAGCUGAUUUCCCCUUCAGGCUGAAGUUCUCCUGGCGGCACCUGGGGUCACAGGUUUCCCUUGACCCGGGGCUUCAGCCCCACUGGCAAAGGAGACAGUAAACCUGCCAUCUCCACUCCUAGCUGGUUCACCAAAAUGUUGUGGUAAACUGAGGACCAGAGAGACCCAUAUGGGAAAACAGGAGGAUGUUUAUUUUAAGGUACUCACUGACCCAGUGGAUUCACAUCUAAAAAGCUGAGCAUUGAACAGAGUUUAGUUUGUAUAGGCUAGCAUACAAGAGCAAAACAAAGACAGUAAAUUUUACAAUGACAAGUCACAUCAUCUAUAGCAUAACUGCUAACUUGGCAUAACUUAUGGCCUUGCAUAGCUAGUGGCCUUGCAGCUGCGAAACAAACAAACAAACAAAAAACAGGAACUUUGCAAAUCUUACUAAAUGUAAGCAUUGGCAAACAUAGUCAUAACUAACAGUUCAGUACAGGAGAGACAGUAAAGGAAUUUGUUGUUCUUGUGUUAACCUUGUUCGGGGGUGUGUGGCGCUCAUUUCUGCAGGCCAGGUCACCAUGACCUGUCUAUAGCCUUGCCUGCAGUAGAGGAAAACUUGUGGUUUUCGCUUAACCCUUACUUUCCUUGGAGUGAAUAAAUGCAGUAUUUAUUUUUCUUUAAAUUUCUGCCUCAAUGAGAGGGAGGUAGGAAAAUCAGGAUUAGAGAAGAAGAUGUGAUGGUGAAAGCAGCAGAGAGCAAGGAAGAUGUUGGAAAAUGCUAUGCUGCUGGCUUUGAAGAUGGAGGAGAAGGCUACACGAUCCAGCAUGCAGGUGGCCUCUAGAAGCUGGAAAAGCCUAGGCAAUGGUUCUACCCCAGGGCCUCCAGAAAGGACGCAGAUUGCCAACACCUUGAGGUUAGCCCCAUAAGACCCUUUCUGGACUUCUGCCCUCCAGAACUGUCAGCACGUUGUGUUGUCUUAGCCACUAAGUUUGUGAUAAUUUAUUCCAGUACCAGUAGAAAAUGAACAACUUUCCUCAAAAAAAAAAAACAAACAAACAAACAAUAAAAAAACCCUCAUGAUUUUUGCCAGUUAUUUAAUACAGAUAUGAGUGGUAGAACAUUUGAAAGAUGGCCAGGUCUAGUGGCUCAUGCCUGUAAUUGCAGCACUUUGGGAGGCCGAGCUGGGCAGAUCGCCUAAGGUCAGGAGUUUGAGACCAGCCUGGUCAACAAGGUGAAACCCCAUCUCUACUAAAAAUGCACAAAUUAGCCAGGUGUGGUGGUGCCAUCUGUAAUCCUAGGUACUUGGGAGGCUAAGGCUGGAGAAUCACUUGAACCAG